CUGACAAUACGUUGGAAUCAUACCCAAACCCAUCGAAAGCCAUCAACACAAUAAGGGAUGUGCGACUGUAGCUGAUGUUGAGUCUUCCAAGCCUACCUUUGACGCCUCACCUGAUAUUACUAGGUGAACGACAAGGUAAUCAUCAAAAGUGGAUGGUCAGCAUUGAAUCCUUAAUCGUUUGUGAAGGGUCCAACCUCGACACAUUUCUAACAGGCCUUGCGACAUGUUUCU
Molecule: long non-coding RNA, 231 nt
Organism: Alosa sapidissima (American shad)
Lineage: Eukaryota; Metazoa; Chordata; Actinopteri; Clupeiformes; Clupeidae
Exons: 3
Source: RefSeq, a predicted model, not a curated record